This is a long non-coding RNA of Rhopalosiphum padi (bird cherry-oat aphid), 4909 nucleotides long. RefSeq lists it as uncharacterized. The record is from RefSeq and is a predicted model, not a curated record. NCBI's taxonomy places the organism in Eukaryota, Metazoa, Arthropoda, Insecta, Hemiptera, Aphididae. The transcript is spliced from 6 exons.
CUGAGCAGACGUAAUAAUAAUAAUAUGUGUAUAAAAAUAUUAUAAUAUUUACACUGAAAAAUUAUCCUCCUCACAUUCUAGUGGCUAGUUCUGAAAUACAGUAUUGCGUUUAAUGCAGUUAUAAGAUACCAACUUAGUUUAAAUUAUACGAGUAUAAGGUUUGACUAUUAUUAUAAUUACGUGUAAAUUACGUUUUUAUUUCAUUUUCGUUUCAUAGAUAAGCUUUUUAUAAUGAGUAUAAUAAUUUUGGACAACCCAAAUGCAAGUAUAACGUCGUUUUAAUAUGUUGGAUACACAUCAAUACCGAGAAUUUUUAAAGACGCGAACUAACCGUUUUUAUAUAGAACGCAGACAUUUGUGUACGUAUUGCGUUGAAAACAAUGAAAAUUCAUUUAAAAUAAAAUGAAACGAGUAGCCACAACCGUGUUUGGUUAUAAUAAAUACGAGUACCUAAAAAGAACAUAUCUAAUAAUCUAACUAUAAAUGUUAGUUUAAUACAAUUAAGUUGUUUAAUAUACAUCAGUAAGCAAAUCUAUGAUUUUCUCGACAAUAUCCAACAUCUAGACGAACUUUUAUAAGGACACAAUUUAACAGUUGUAGGACUUUAUGUAAAAAUGUGAAUUGGUAUAAAUUCAUAAUGUUUUGAAUAAGUAAUGUAAACCAUGGUAGCCAGUCAUAAUUAGAUGAAAAAAAAAUAUAACAUAUUGUUAUAAAUUUAAGUUAUGGAGAUUUGUGCAACACAUUCUUCAUCACAUACUUCACAAACGUUUAAUGUACCACCACACCAUCCAUGUCUGCAAUACAGGUACAUGUACCUUAAGCCAUUUGAUGCAUCUCUAUAAGCCCUUCAACAACAAAUGAAAUUAAUGCCUGUUGAAUCCAUAAGGCUGUUGUAUUCAUGAGACUAUAUCCAAAAAGACCUUGGAUAUUUUACUCUGCAGAUGGGACAUUUGGACAAUCGCUGAGGACACAAAUCACUACACCACCCAUAUGUCCACAUGGAAAAACAAUGUGCAUACCUUCUACAUCAUCUCUGUAUUGCCAACACACAAAAUAACAAUCAUAUACCUCGCUUGAAUACACAGCGUCAUUCUUUUAUCAUAAAACACUCGUUAUUUCAAUAAGUAUUCAUGAUUUUGAAAACAUUUUUUUACAUAGUUUCAAGUUGUUAAGAAACAACGUUUUAGUUAAAAAAUUAUAUUUUUAAAUAUUUUUUAUCCUUAUAUUUUUUUAAGUUUUUUACUUUUUUGAAUGACAGCAUAGAGUUUUGAUUUCAUAUUCCAAAGCAUCAUAAUUUUCUGAGUAUUUUGAUACAUAAAAAUCAAAUUUAGGACGACUAGUUUAUGAGUUAUACGUAUUUAAAGUUUAGACAAUAGGACAAAUAUUUUGCGGGGUAACUCCGUACCACUCCACUCCGUGCGUCUAAACUUUAAAUACGUAUAACUCAUAAACUACUCGUCUUAAAUUCGAUUUUUAUGUAUCAAAAUACUCAGAAAAUUAUUUAGAAAUAUAAUUUUUUAAUAAAAAUGUUGUUUUUUAACAAUUUGAAACUCUGUAAAAAAAUGUUUUCAAAAUCAUAGAAUACUUUUUAAAAUAAUAAGUGUUUUAUGAUAAAAGAAUCACCCCGUAUAAGUAUAAAAUAGGUUAAAGUUAAUCUAGUAUAUUUAUAUUGCCUAGUACAGGGUGGGGCACUGAAACGGCUGAUUUUAAAAAUAGAUUUUCUCAGUAGUAAUUAAGAUAAGAAUUCUCACUAAAUACUAUUAGUUCAAAGAUAACAUGCCAUUUAGUAAACAUGGAACAGUGGAGUGGUAAACAACGUGCUUAUGCGAUAAAAUCAUUUUACAAAAAUAAUGACAGUUACGUAGUCGCACAGCGUGAAUUUCGUCUUCAUUUUAAUCUUAAACGGCAUGAUUCGGUACCAUCGGCUAAGGUUAUUAAAAUAUGGAUAACCAACUUUGAAGAAACGGGUUCAGCAUUAAAAAAUAAGCCUGUACGACAAAAAACUAUUCGCACACCUGAAAACAUCGUUGCUGUCAGAGCCAUAGUGGAAAAUAUACGAAGUAGGCUAGAAGAGUGUUUGAGAAGAGAUGGCCAUCAUCUUGAGGACAUAAUUUUUAAAAAAUAAUUGGCAUGUUAUAUACUUCAUUAUAAUAAAUAAUAAUUAAUUUUUAUUUGGUUUUUUUAUUUUAUAAUUUGUCUAUGAAAAUCGGCCGUUUCAGUGCCCCACCCUGUAUAAAGAAUAAUUUGUUUAAACUAAUAACAAUUUCUAUAUUAGGAAUAUAAUAUACAGAAGACUACACCUGGUAUUUGUAGUAAUGCAUCAUGUUUCUCCAACAAUUAUGGCAUUCAAUUUUUCUGCUCCAACCGUCACAAUCUCAACAUUUUCAUUCUCAAUGAAUAUAAGUAUUUACAUAUAAAUAUUUUUCAUUAAACUAUAAAUAAUUUAUUUUACCUAAAUUUUCACUUUCAGUUGGAAGUGUUUCAUCUAAUUCAAAAUGAACAGCUACAGAAAAAAAUAAAUAUUAAAUCUUCUUCAUUAAAAUUUAUAUUAUUUAUAUAUAAUAUGUACCUUCAAUUUCUGGUUGAGGUAGAACUUCCACUAUGUUGCCUAUAGGCUAUAACCAAAUUUAACAUUUUAACAAUAGCUAUAAAAUUGUAUUAUUUAUUUAAAAAUUUCAAUUGUAGAAUCAUUCUGUUGCAUCUUCAUUUAAAUUCUGAGAGGAUUUUGCCUUCUACCAACAAUGGGACGUCCUCAGCGUCUCUGGCCUUUGGUAGCAUGUACGACUGAGGUUGAACAACAGGUUGUACCCGGACUUGAUCUAUACCUCUUCCAGCACCACAUCUUAUGCAACUUGGUUCACAUUUUGUUUCGUGGUCAAGUGCACUAUCCUCGUUUAUAGCAUUUAAAAAUAAUAGGAUAUCGCCACAAUCAAGGCCAUAUCCAAGUCAAGUAGUUUAUUUUCAAUUUGUUAUCAGUUUACGAUUAUAGUAAUACAAAUACUUUAUCCACAGCACACCGCAUAAUGUAUAAAUUGAUUGGAUAAUACAUAUUUAAGGUGGAUAAUGUAUACAUUACACUAUUCAUAUGGAUAAGUUUCACAUUACCCGGGUAAUAUGUACACUAACCGUUUUUGGACCUUACCCGUAAAAUAUAUAUUAUCAAUAAUUGAAAGUGAAAUUAUUAAGUAAAACAUUUUUUAUUUUUUUAAGGUACGUAUUUUGUUUCGUGGUCAAGCGUACUAUCCUCCUUUAUAGAGAUCAAAGUUAAUGUGACAUCCGCACAAUCAAGGCCAUAUCUGAUGCCAGAAAGGAAAUUAAUGUUGCACAUAACUCCUUAUAUUUUCGCUACAUUCGUUCUGUAUUGCAACUUUGUUCGGUCACAUGCCGGAUUUGGGAUUUCGAAAUAAAUACUGUACACUGUCCAGUAAAUCAUAUAGGUAUUUUUUUCGGUGCGUGAUUUCAUCACAAAUCUGUUGGGGAAAACUCUUAUAACAUCAUAUAACUGCGUGUUACUGGUCAUACUGUUGUAAAUAGCUUUGGACAAUUCUUUAUCACUUAUUGCCAAAUCUGUAUCAGAAAGCGAUUUCAGUUUUUUGUUCUUGUACGUUAAUUCGUUUCUCGUAAAGCAGUUACCACUCGGGCAAAGGACAUCACGAUAUUUGGUCGUUAUGAAUUUGAAAUCGAUUGGGUAAAACACUACAUUGUCCGAUGCGUUUAGAAGGUACAAUUUGUUGUCGGUGAUCAAAUUUAUGAGAGGUUGACAAUCAUCAGACCUUACGGACAGUAUGCAGUUGAUUAAAAACACAAUAGAAAACGAGACCUACUUGUCUAUAAUCUAUAAAAGCCACGAUUUGUGAUAUAUAUAUAUUUUCUAUUAUAUUAUAUAAAAAUACGUCGAAACGGAAAAUAAUACAACGCGUCUACGUAGAUAGUACCUUUUUUAUAUUAUUUACACGAUGCACACUUCAAAAUAUAUUUUAUUAAAACGACUUACUUAUAUUAUAUUAAAUUACACUCCUUCUGUGAUCGGUAUAUAUAUAAUCACUGUGAAAUAUAAUACACGUAAAAGUAAUUCUGAAGUCAUAAAAAACGAACACUCGGCAGUCAAAUUCACUCAGCAAUGCCCAAACCAAGCCGCUGGGUCUAGAAACUUAAAAUUGUGUACAGAUUUUCCUUGUGCAUAUAAAUGAUUUUCCUUAUAAAUGUAGUGGCACACUAAGAUAGGAUUUUUUUAAAUUCAACCUCUUAAGGGGUAAAUGGCGGGGUUUUAUUAUAUAGCUAUAGAUAAAUGUAUUUUUUUAAUUGUUUUAUAAUUGUUUGUUAUUUCUUCUAAGUGGUUGCUAGGAUACUAAAAAUAUGUCUUAUUACUUAAGAUAUAUUUUUAGUAUUCUAUUAACCACAAAGAAGAAAUAACAAACAAUUAUUAAACAAUUAAAAAAUACAUAUAUCUAUUGUCUUUGCUCAAAAUCAACUUAUGACCAACAUUUUUUAUCGGUAUUGACAAUUUUAGAAAUUGUAAACAUUUCUGUAGUCUAAUUUGGCGUUAUAACCAUUACCAAAAUUAUAUAUAUUAUAUUAUUAUUUUUUUUUAUAUUUAUAUUAUUAUUGCAUUUAAUUUAAAUAAACCUUCAUGAGGUAUAUUGGUGUACAUUUUAUUGUAUUAUAAUAAUUAUAUACUAUAUUUUAAUAAAGUCAAAAUUGAAUUGUACCAAUUCAGUUUUUUGAUACAAACUAGUUUUAAAUUUUAUUUUGAAUAAUCUUAUAACAUGUUCAAGUGUUUAACGUUUAACCAUACCAGCCUUAAUACUACGCUGUAUGUUGAAUAACAACGAACCACACUGAGAAACUGAUGAGAAUUAAAAUUGAACUGGAAACCAAAUAACCGUCGAAAACCACCAUCAUCGUCUUA